GUCUCCUAUGCAGACCGGUCGGUGUUUGGGGCAAAAUCGUCGGAUCGCUAUGUGCGAUUGCCGGUGUUCUAACCAUUGCACUGCCCGUUCCAGUUAUCGUGAGCAAC
This is a non-coding RNA of Anopheles atroparvus, 107 nucleotides long. The record is from Rfam. NCBI's taxonomy places the organism in Eukaryota, Metazoa, Arthropoda, Insecta, Diptera, Culicidae.